AUGCGAGGCUGGGGCCGGUUGCCUACCGGCCGCUUCUCGCCGAGGCAGUCCAGACUUUUCCCCCGGCGGUGCCCGCUCCAAGACAGCAUCUGUCAACGCUCCUCUUCUCCCCUCCUCCUCCUGCCGGGCCGGGCUCCGCCGGCUGCGGCCGAGAGGACGCGGGACCCGGCGCGGUGAGCCCAUCAGCUGUCAGGCGAGCGGCGAAGCGGCUGGAGGGCGGCGAGAGACACACAAAGAACGCGGUGGGCGGCGGCGGCGAAAGGGGACGGCAACUCCUCCCCGCGCCCGCCGGUGCCACCGCCGGCCGUGCUUGUUCCGAGGCCGCGCAGACAAUGCGGCCGGGCUCGUCCCCGCGUGCCCCAGAGUGCGGAGCGCCCGCGCUCCCCCGACCCCAACUUGACCGUCUCCCGGCUCGCCCAGCCCCCUCCCGGGGUAGGGGCGCCCCCUCCCUCCGGUGGCCGGCGAAGGAAGUCGGUCCGCGGCCGCAGAUCCCGGCAACUUGCGAACCGGGAAAAGUUUGCGGCGCCUCCGCGGGGCGGCGCGACGCGGCCCGCCCCUCGCGUCCGCGGUCAUCGCGGGUGACUUUCUCGACUCGUCGUCAGCCGGGGCCGCAGCGCGGCCGGUGGGGACUGCGGGGCGGGCCGGAGUCCGUCCGAGGGCUCCCGCACCUCGGGCUGCGGAUUUCAGGUACUCCACUGGGCAUUUUCUCUUCAUGGAGCUUAUAGCAACAAAAGUGUUUUACAAAAGAACAUUAAAAUCUCCCCAGAUGCUCACUGCUCUGAUCAUUUCCCCUACAGCACCAGACAUGUUGGCAUCAUCUCUUAGUUGGGCCAUGUGGCCAGGGAACCCUUCAUGAAACCACCUCUGCAGUCCUGGAGAGUUGCUGUAGAAGAAGGAAAAGAGAGGAAGACAACACAACACAGGAGGGGAUAAGUACCUCUGGACACAAUGGAAGUAGUAGUUGUUGAGCAGAGGGAAAGGGAUAGGAGAAGGAUGUGGACUGCAGUGCUGCAGUGCCAGGUAAUAACUUUGAUCAUGUACCUCCUUGGCUCAGGUGCUGUCUCUUCUACUCUCCUCCUUACUUGUACUACCUUAUUUAGCACUUAAUUAUAUACUUUCUUGACUCACUUUGAGACACACUGAUUAUGUGGUCUGCCUCAAAGACAGAAUCCUAGUUUUGGAUUUUAGCAUUACUGAUCUAUAGCCUUGCAGGGGCUUAAGGAUGGCAGCUGUCUCUCUCCCUUGGGAUCUAGCUUUUGCAAAUAUUGAAGGGAAGAGAUUUCUUUGAUCUUAUAGGAAUAGAUCCACAGUUCCUCUCCAGAUUUGCUUUUAUAGAGAAGUGUGUGUCACCAAAACAAUGGAGAUACGGUCAGAGAGGCCCCUACCCCCAGAAUUUUAAUAUAAUUUUACUUUCUGGGGCAUUUAUUCUUGACAAAUACUUUCUCUCCUAUCAGCUCACUUGUUCCUCACAAAAACCCUAUAAGAUAUUAAUAUUAUUAAACAGACCCCUAUGAAGCACCUCAAGUCUUUCUCUCUUCCCACUUCCAUUCUUGCACACCUUUUGCUAGACUAGUCUCUGCGUUCAUCACAUCAGGUUUCUAAAAUAAAAGUCCCCUAAUAACUUUCUAUUUGUUCUCUCAUCAUAUUGAACCUUUUUUGCCUGGCUUAUAAGGUGGCCUUAAAACCCCAUUUUCCUCUAAACAUUGUCUCUGUAGUUCAGGAAUAUGGCAGGCUCAACACUAUGCUUGAGCCCAUAUUGCUUCCCUCAUUAGUGAUGCCUCCUCUCAGACCACCCAGAUUCUACUCAUUCUUCAAUUUCCAGCUUCUCCUUGGAGCCUUCCCAGAUCAUUAGCUUCUUAAAAAUCCCAGCUUUCUCUGAAUUCUGAUGGUAGCCCCCGUUAUUUGGACAAUUAUGUCCUGGUCUUAAAGUCCUAAUGGGAAAAAAAAGUACAUGAUGGACUUCAUGUAGAGAAGAAAGCACUGGACUGAGUUUUAAGACAGCUGCUAAGGAGCUGUGUGAGCCAAACCAGGUUACUUUACCUCUCUGGAUCUAUAUUUGCUGAUCUGUUAAGUGGAGACAAUUGGGUCAGAUAAUCUUGGUGGUCUUUGCUUAUUCUGAGGUUCUUGGACAACUUGGCCUAGUUCACGUGGGAUGGGAUUGAAGAUCUUACUGAGUUCUUGGAUGGAAAUGUCAGUAAUGGGCACUUAGUGCCUUCAGGACUUGUUCUAUACUAUCCCAGAAAUUUCUGAUGCUAAACUUGGCAAUUUUUAAAUGUCAUAUUCCUUUUCUCCAAACUCUUUAACCACAAGAAUUCAGGGAAGGUUAUGGGGGGUGACUUAGUUAUCUGGAUAAUACAUAUUGUGGACAAUAUAGCAUUAUCCUUGGGAAUGAUUUCAUAUUGUUGAAUAAAUAGGAUCAACUUCUUGAUAAACCUUAGUCCCAAGCAUUUCAUCUUCAUUGGAUAGUGUUACAUAGUAAUAUAUUUAUGUUUUCUUUUAAUCAUUUCAUAACUUGGAAAAUACUAACAUAGUCAAAACUCUAGGGUAGGUGAUACAUGAGUUUCUGUAGUAAUCUGGUUGGAGACAUGUUGUAAUUCUGUAUAUAUAUGUACAUUUAUCCCAUGCAUGUUAUGCCUAAACUAAGACGGAUACCCCUGAAUUAAGAGGUGCUGUUAUACAUUGACCAGGCUUAAGAAUAUCUCUUUAAAGUGUGUCGACAUUUAAUUGACCUUUGGAAGUUCAUUCUGUUAAUCAUACUCAAAGUGCUAAAGCUAUGGUUGACUGCUCUGGUGUUUUUAUAUUCAUUCGUGCUUUAGCAUAUAAAUUCUUCAGCAUAAUUGCUACUUAUUUAGCAAGAGUUUCCUUUAUUUGAAAAUGUGAGUUGUGCUUGUAUUUUUGUGUCUUUCUUUCUUUCUUUCUUUUUUUAAACUUUGCUUCAGGCUGGGUAGUGGUAGAGGUUUGAAUUAAAAUGUUUUCCUGUCAGUAGUUGUAUGAGGUGUGGCUUCUUAAUCUAGAAGUAAUGGAAAUUUCUUGCUUAAAUGAAGUGCACUUUUCUUCCUGCAGAAGUUAGAACUCUUUUAGACAAGCUUAACACUUCAAAACUGUAUAUCUUUAACAGAAACUUUUGGAAAUUUUUAAAUUCCAUUUGUGUAGAUUAAAAAUAUCAAUGCUAAUACUUUCUAUUAAAUAAGGAUUUAUCUAUUUUCAUAAAACCUCUAAUUAUAUUCCUUGAAUUGCUAUGAGUAGAAUUUUGUUGUAAACACAAUAUUUUUAAAAAGUCAAAUAUAUUUUAAAAAUCUUAACAUUAUAUUACUAUAACUUAGAGAACAGGUGUUUACAUGUUUAAAAUUUUCUAGGCCUUAAAUUUGUGAAAUCAGUCUUUCAGAAGUUAUUUUUAAUAUAGUUAUCUGUGUUACAGGUUUAUAAGUUGACAUUUCAAUUUAAAAUUUUUUCAAUUUAUAUUUCAAUGACCAGGAAAAAAUAGUUAAACUUAUUCCUAAAUUUUAAUAGAAAAAUAAAAAACCACAUAGUUGUUAAUUUCUGGUAAUUUAUCUUGAGACUCCAGGCAUGUUUUUAGAACAUUUUUACCUUAAAAGCAAUUUUGAAAUAGGGAAAUUAAAGUUUAAAGCAGAGUUUUCACUUUAAUGAGGUAAUUUUAUACUUCCCAGAUAGGUAGGCCCAUAUUCAAGAACACUCUGAUCUCUGUUUAUAGUAAGUUUUGAUGCCAUUAUAUCAUUUACUUAUUCACGCAUUAUAAGCAUAGUAGAUAGCCCCAUUGUCACGAAGCUGGCAUUAUUUUCUUGUCUGUCAUUCAAUAUUGUCCCCUUUUUUUUUUCUGUUUUCAUCAUAGCCGUCCUUUUCAUUUUAUUGUAGCCCUGACUCGAAAUGAAAGUAAGUUUGAACUCUUAAAAAAGAGUUCCUCAAACUCUUUUUUAAGAAUAUACAGUGAAAUGUCUUAAAUAAUAUUAUCUAAAUAAUACCUAAAGAAUGCAAAUGACUUGCAAUGCUGAAUAGUCAGACACAGGAUGUUCCAUGCUAAGGGUAGACUCAUAUUUCCACUUUAUAAAAUGUGGUUUCAGAAAACAAAUAGAUGUGUUUCUUCCUUAAUAAUUAGUGUUUCAGGACCAAAGUUGACUAAAUAUGGAAGUUUAAGAUAAAACCCGGUUUCUUAGGGAAUCUUUCUCAGUCCUUAGUAAUUCUGUAGAAUUGAUGAUAGAGUGGCAACUUCAAUACACUCAGUAUUCUUUUCUGUUUGAAGUCUGUUUUGCCAUUGGAAAAAACUUAUUGUUGUUUGAAUUUGGGUAUAUGUAUUCACAGAUGGUUUACUUUAUUUUUAUUUUGUUUAAACAAAUACUUUCAUGUCCCAAACACUGAGACAUGUUUCAUGUCCUAAACACUUUAUAAAUAUUAGAAUAUUUAAUCCCCUUAACUCUGUAGUUAUAAUUAUCUUCAUUUUACAAUUGAGAAAACUAAGAUACGACGUUUUAUUUAAUGGUAACGCCUUAAGUAAGGGGAGAGUGAUAAGUGUAAGCAGAGUGGAAAACUUAGUAGUGCUAAGGAGCAACAGAAGUAUGUGCAAGAGUUUGGGAAGAUGUGUCUGCUUGGAAAGGAUCAGGGACUCAGCUGGGAUCAGUCUUAAAGAGCAACAUGUCCUCAUUCCUCAAUUUUAAGCCUUUGGGCUCUAGAAGUAAAGGGCAAACUUAGAGGAGGCACUCCUCAGGUUUCAGCUGCCUGUUCCGGCCUGGUGAGGUGGCUGUACUGGCUCAUGUGUUUCUCAUAGGGCUACAUGAGCCUUUAUGUCUUACCUCCUCCUCAUUUCUUGGCUGACUCCUGCUUUUUUGGAGGGUUUAACUUCUCUCUCAGCUAGAAGGUUAGGCAUUGCAAAUACCAGUGGAUAAUUUUUUUCUUAGCUUUAACCCCAGCCCAUUUCAACCCCCUCUUUGCCCUUUGUAUAUUCUUUUGAAAAUAUGAUCCAGUAGUGUUUAUGAAUGUGUGUUGUGUAAAAUUUAGAGAUUGAUGUUAAACAACAGAAUUAAAGGACAAAGCUGUCUUUUUUGUUGGAAUUGGGGAUGGGAGAGCAGCUCAAAGUGGGAAAUAUGGAGAAAGGAGAGACAUUGUGGAAAAGAAGAGAUAAAUUGAGGGGAAAAAAAGAGGAUGAAAAAAUGAAGAGAGAGAAUUACUGAUGUGCUUCACACCCACACCUCCUCUCCAACUUCACAGUAACAGAGGCAAUGUCACUAUCUUUUACCUGACAAGUGCUUUACCAGGGAGUUGUGCCUGGCAUCGUGGGAGUGGAAAAUUUUUCCCUUUUGCAUUUUGAGACUUGGGUGUGCUGCUUUAAGAUGCCACUGGUAUCUAAGUAAUGUUUGUUUAUACUGGAUAUUUUUCUCUGUAGCCUUUGUGGAUUGGACUUAUAAUAUAAACAAUAUUGUUAGCAGAACUGCAGGUACUCUAUUGCUAUGUUUAUUUUAUUAGUUAAAAAACUACCAGAGCCCUAGGACUUCUGAGCACAUUUAGAAAAUACCAGAGGCAAUUUUAAGACUAGCAUUAGAAAGAAAGAAAAGAAUAAGAAUAAAACUAAGACUUGCAUACCUUAGAAUCCUAACCAAUGUGGUGAUUUUUAAAAAUUAAUGUUUCAGAGACUCUAAAUUAGGGUAGUUGGUUUCAUCAAUUACAUUUUUUAAGUUAAUAUAAAGUGCUUUUGUAUGUAAAUUCUCUUAAUAGAUAAUUUAGGUAAAAUGAAAGUGUGGCAUUUUUUGUUCCAUAGAAUGUAAAACUAACGUCAGAAUAAGAAUUCUUUUGGGAAUUUAGGAUUUUUUUGAUGCUUCUCAAAUCAUCUGUAAUGACUUUUAUUUAUAGAAAAGGUAGAUUAUUCAUUAGUUUUUAUGAAAAACACUCAGUUUAAAUAGCCGGGUAUGGUGGCGCAUGGCUGUAGUCCCAGCUACUCAGGAGGCUGGGCACGAGAAUUGCUUGAACCUGUGAGGCAGAGGUUGCAGUGAGCCAAGAUCGCACCACUGCACUCCAGCCUGGUCCAGAGUGAGAUUCCGUCUCGAACAAAACAAAACAAAAAUAUUGAGCUAAUCUAAAUGGUAAAAAUCUAGAUUUGAAGAAAUUUAUUUUAAAAUAGUUGUUCAUUUGUCAAAUAGAAAAGUAUGAUCUUAGCAGGUUUGGUUAGAUCCCUAUCUGAAACAAAGUAAACUAAAGAUGUUUUUCUUGAUCAAUGCAUAGCAAUAACUGCUGUUCAAACAUGUGAGGAAUCACCAGUAAAUUGGGGGAUAGAAAGCAGGAAAAGGAGCUUUUUUCUCUUAUUUUUUUUCAUUUAUCAGUUUUUCCCAUUUGUCCAUCCUUUCCUAUAAUCAUGGAAAUUUUUAUUUUUUACACUCCUCUCCCCAUUUUUUUAUCCUAGAUUGCCACCACACCAAGGUUUUCUAGAGUUAGGCAGAAAGAGAACCUGGGCCUAGAUGCUAAUGGAAACUAUCCCAUGCUUUCUCAGACUCUCUUUCCUCCCCAGAGACAAGAGGAGCAAAACAGGAGUUGAUGGCUCAUUGCUGUUGCUUCUGUGGCUGCCCUGUUUGGUUGACCUGAGCUUUUUUUAAAAACCUCCACUCUUGACGCUUAACUCUAUGAAUAAAAUUAGGGCCAGUCACACUGUAUUUUCAUCAUCAGUUAUCCCUAGUGAUUCAAAUUUAGCACAAACCUGCUGUGAGUACAUAUUAAUUAGGUGAAUACAGUAGAAUGCAAUCAUAACAUGAGUCUUUUAAUAACUAUUCUUUGUUUGAUUUUUAUUUUAGAAGUUUGAAGUUAUUUUGUUGAAAAUCUAGAAAAUCUUUAUGUGAGCAACUGAGGUUCGGGUAGCCCACAACAGUUUAAAUCAAACAUUAACUUGCAGUAAAACACUACUGAAAGUGUCUUUGAUUUUGAGGUGCAGAGAGCUGUUUCAAGUUAAGUUGCUAUAUUAGUCUGUUCUCAUGCUGCUAAUAAAGACAUACCUGCAACCGGGCAAUUUAUUAAAAAAAAAAAGAGGUUUAAUUGACUGACAGUUCCACAUGGCUGGGGAGGCCUCACCGUCAUGGUGAAAGAGCAAGGGAUGUCUUACAUGGUGGCAGGCAAGAAGUUUGUGCAGAGGAACUCCUGUUUAUAAAACCACCAGAUCUCAUGAGACUUACUCACUACCAGGAGAACAGGAUGCGGGAAACCACCUCGGUGAUUCAGUUAUCUGCACCUGGCCCCACCCUUGACACAUGUUGAUUAUUACAAUUCAAGGUGAGAUUUGGGUAGGUACACAGCCAAACCAUAUCAGCUGCCCAUUCUCCUGUGCAGUGACAUAAAGGUCUGAUAACCUGAUUUAAAGCUUGGACUCUAAGAUUUUUUUUUUUCUUUUUUUGAGUCAGGUUAUCUCUGUCGCUCAAGCUGGAGUUCAGUGGCAUGAACAGGGCUCAUUGCAGCCUCAACCUUCCAGGUUCAAGUGAUUCUCUUGCCUCAACCUCCUGAGUAUCUGGGGCUACAGGCAUGUGCCACCGUGCCAGGCUAAUAUUUUUAUUUUUAUUUUUGUAAAGAUGGGGUCUCACUUCUGGGCUCAAGCAAUCUUUCCUCAGCCUCCCAAAGUGCUGGGAUUAUAGGUGCGAGCCACUGCACCCUGCUGUAAAGAAUUUCAUAUCCCUGUUUUCGGUGUGCUGUGUCACUGUUUGCCAUGGGUAAAGGUAUAUGAAUCUCUUUUAUUUUGCUGCUUGCAACCCAAUUCCCAUGCCAAACCCAAUUUGUAUCCAAACAAACAAUAUUGGAGACAAGUUCUUCUAUAGAAAGCUUCAUAAGCCAGUUACUGACUACUGUGUCUGUAAAUAUACUCAAACUAUUUUGUAGUCUUGCUAUUUUAAAAAAUGUGUGGGUGUGGGAAGUGAUGUUGAAUGAAUUCAGGGUAAUUGGUGGUUCUUUGUAUUAGGAAAACUCACUAGUUAAGGGAAGUCUGUUUUCAUGAUUCAUGUAUGUUUAACUUAAAAAAAAAUUCUUCCAUCCUUCUCUCCAGUUUCCACUCUACCUCAUAAAUUCAAGUAAUGAAGGAAUUUAAAUAAUAGAAUUUUAUAACUGAAAGGAUUUUGGAGAGAAUCUAUUAACCCUCCUACUACAGUUGAGGAAAUAGAUGUCCAGUGAGGUCAAAUGAGAUCAUGUAGCUAGUUUAAAAACCCAAAUAACAUUUUAGUAGUUUGUUUCCAUUAGUAAACACUGUUCUGUUUGAUUUGCCCUAACAUGUUCAUAAUCAGAGUCAUAAUAAGGAAAAAUCACUAAUAUGUGUGUGGUACUUUCUUGUGCAUACCUCAGUCACUUCUCAAAAGAGGUCUGUAAGGUGUCGGUAUCCUGGUUUCCAUUCAGGGAGAGAACAGUCUAUGAGCCUAAGAGACCUGUCUGUGCCAGUCACUAUCAGAACAGUCUAAUGCUAUGUGUCUUCCUACCUUGGCAAAAGCAUUGGCUGGUCUCUGGACAGUUCUCAUAGACCACAGGAUUGGGCAGGGGGGAGCCACAUCUUCAUGUUAGGGCUCUAACCUGUACCAAUUAUUAACUGUUGUCUCUAUUUCAUCAUUUCUUAAAGGGAAAAAAAAGCACUUUUUAAAGAGCAUGAGAUUUUAAAUUUUUCAAAAGAAGGAUGCUGGAUCAUUAUAAGUAAGGCAUGUUUUAAAGAUCUUCUUAUCAACAGCUUAAAAAUUAGCCAGUAUAUACUGAACAUCCACUGUAUAAAAAGCACAUUAUGGGGUGCUCCAGUAGGUACAGCAGUGAUCGAGACAGAAUCAUAGCCUUCAGGGAAGAGGUAUAUGCAAUGUUCUCUCCUUCCAAAGAUUACCUAGAUAGAGAACUGUUCAUAAGAAAUAUCUUGGUACUGUCUACAUUACUCUUGAGAUAUAAAAUAUAUAUUAUUUCUUACGUCUGAAAUGAGUCAGUUGUUUCUAAAACAAUUUGUAUUAAAGUAUUCACAUUAAAAAUUUGUAAAAUACAGAAAAGUAGAGAGAAAAAAUCAUGAAUUUUUAACAUGGUAAUGAUUAUAUCAGUUUCGUUCUUGGCGUUUCUUUAACUUGAUGGGAUAGCUAAUGUUUUUUGUCAUUGCAUAGCUUUGUAAACUUGUCCUAAGGAUUAUAUAAUUUCAGCAUGAGUUAGUUUCUAAGUAUGUCAGAAAUCUAGCUUUUUUGUGGUAAUUGUUGUUUUACACAAAAUGAUUAAUAAAAGACUCUAAACUAACCUUGGCUUUAGAAAUGCUUUUUAAAUUUUAAAAUAGUGAAUGAGUAGCAGAUUACUUUCUAGUAUUUCUUUAAGGUCACCAAAAUCACUUAACUUGCUUAAAAUAUUGAUGGAAAUAUCAACUACGUACAGUUGACCUAAAUUAGAAAUGGGUGUUUUUUAAAUAGUGAAAUUUAUAAAUAUAAUAUGUAUAUUUUAAAAUACAGUUUAUAUUAUAGAGUUAUGUUCCUCUGUAAUAAUUUCUCUUUACACUGAAUCAUGUUCAGUUUUUAUUAUGCAGAUAAUUUAAUCUUACAGCUUUGAUCUUUUUUAAAAAAUAAAACAGCCAUUUGGAGUCUAAA
RNAcentral lists this long non-coding RNA (9566 nucleotides) under Homo sapiens (human). RNAcentral's name for it is "long independently transcribed non-coding RNA 472 (LINC00472)". Lineage: Eukaryota; Metazoa; Chordata; Mammalia; Primates; Hominidae. The record is from RNAcentral.